Molecule: ribosomal RNA, 253 nt
Filed under: uncultured bacterium
Lineage: Bacteria
Description: partial 16S ribosomal RNA
Rfam family: Bacterial small subunit ribosomal RNA
Source: RNAcentral
UACGUAGGGGGCUAGCGUUGUCCGGAUUUAUUGGGCGUAAAGAGCGCGUAGGCGGCCGAGUAAGUCCGACGUGAAAUCUGGAGGCUCAACCUCCAGCGGUCGUUGGAAACUACUCGGCUAGAGUCCGGAAGAGGAGAGUGGAAUUCCUGGUGUAGCGGUGAAAUGCGCAGAUAUCAGGAAGAACACCCGUGGCGAAGGCGGUUCUCUGGGACGGUACUGACGCUGAGACGCGAAAGCGUGGGGAGCGAACAGG